GUUUUUAACUUUCUUAUUUCUCUGGGUUCUGGUUAUUCCGUUUUAAACACAUCUUUAUUGCUUCAAGUAGGACUAAGCCUUACACAAUGAUAAAAGUAACUGAAAAACUUAUUCCACUUGAAAAAAAAAGGAAAAACACUUUUGUGACUCACCCAAUAUAAACCACAACCCAAUAAAGCCACGAUUAAAGUGGAUGUCUACUAAAUCUCUCAAUGAAUGGGGUUUCACUUUCUGUUUUCACGAGUCAUCCAAGUCCUUUGAUGUAUGUUGGGCCCUCUUGCUCAAGGCUGUCUGUUCUUUCAUCACUCUUUCCUUCCAUGAAUCUCAUGCCUGCGAUUGCUCAGCACAAUCCUGGCUAACAAGACAUGGAGGGAAGGCUUCCUGGAACACGUGGAGCAAAGUCAGGAAGAUGACCCAAGUGAAGGAAGGACAACAGAGCUGACCUUGGAGGACAUGGGCCAGGAGAUCUAAGAUGAGAUUCCCAGGACUGCUACCUAGGUCCAACUUAGACUCUGAGAACCAAGGAAAAUGAACCUCACCCAAGUUCCUAGGUGGCAACUGAGGACCAGCCCACUGGGAGGCCAGCUGGGGUCCCAAGCCUGGUUAUUCAAAGUAUGGGCUCUAGAACAACAGCCCUGGCAUCAUCUGGAGUGUUUAGGAUGUAGAAGCUCAACUCCCAGUCCCCACUUAACACAUUAGACCUCUGGGUGCUUUUGGCGAGCAUAAAAUCUUGAGAAGUACAUCUCAGAGAACCCGAGGCAAGGUCAAGGAUCAGUCAGGGUUGGUUGAGGGACUGAACCUCAGUAGGGUUGGGAGUGAGAGCAGGUCAGAAGGGAGAGAAAUACUUGAAGCUGUCUCCACGAGCUGUGGGUAUAUGGUUAUGUGGUAUGCAGGUAUAUCUAGACUCUAAAAGGGGUUUGAAUUCUCCAGUCAGCCUUCUCUGAGACUGUAAAAGACAGGGGCCCAUCUUCCUCCUUCAUCUGUUCCAGACCUACCCAGACAUCUCAGAGCUCCAAGAUAUGUACUCAUUCUUUGUUGAACUGAAUGGGGUCCCCCAGAAAUCCCACUAGUCAUAUAUCCUGAGUUUAUGAUCAUAGAGAGUCACCUUUGAUUCUGCAUCUCCCCCAGGAAUCUCUUGGUGUAAUAAGUAUGCUUGGGUGUUUUCUGUAGCACAAAUCAAAGCAAAACAAAAUACCCUGCUGGGUCACAGCAGAUCCAGCACCACAUCCCCCGAGAGUUCAGGCGGUGUCCAAAGAACUCAUCAUGAGAGCUGACCUGCUAAUGUGUGAUUUCUGCAAAAGGGCCAACGAACCUGCUGGCUCCCAUGACGGCUGUCUGGAAAGUCAGUGCCCAGGCGCCAAAUCCAGAGGUGCGCUUUGUACUUGGAGAGACAGAAUGGCCAGCCACCUCGAGGCUUCAGGAGCUGGAUCAGUGCACAGCAGCCUCCAACUGGCAAGAGUUAAUGCUAAGGUGCAGCUGCAGGAAUGUGAAGCUGGAGAGCUAGCUCGGGGAAUUGCUAUUGCAAUCAGAGGACAGCCCAAGUCAGAGUUCCAAAACCCUUUGAAGGGCUGCCAGCUCGGACACAUGUCUCCAAUUAUCAUAUGCAAUCUUGAGGCAGUGUGCAAGCUGCACUUUCAUUAUGUCAAAGUGAAAGGAGUGGUGAGGGAGAGAUAAAGUGGGGAGAGGCCGCCAGGCCGGAGACUGCUUCGCUGUGGCACCAAAUGUCAGCCCGGGUGCAGAGUGAGCCUCCAACGUAUGUCUGUCCGGGAGCCCGAGGUGUGUGGCUCCUACUCUGAGAGCCUUUGUUUUCUUUCUUUCAUUCUGAGGAUGGAGGAGAACCAGCUGACAGCCACAGGAGGCCCUGUCUCUAGGAAACUUGACCAUCUCUUUGGUAUUGGAUCUGACCACAGAUAAGAUUCUGUGGAAACUUCCCAGGGACAUCCACUGUGUCCAGCCACAGGCUUUCAGGUUAUUUCUUAAAAUUUUUCAAGGUCUGUAUUUCCAUGGGGAGCCGGUUCCUUUGCCUGGUGUAACUAAGAAGGAGGCAUAAGAAUAGAUAGCUCCUUCUUGCCUAUCCAGGGUUGGCUGUUUCUAGGCUGGGUUUUGCUUUUUUUUUUUUUCAUUCUGAACCAAGUCCUAGCCCAGGAGACCAUUGCCCUCAACUUCAUUUUCCAAACACAGACCAAUAGAUUUUCCUCAGAGACAUCUCCCAGGCUUAUCUCUUCCACACCAUUGCCUCUUAGGACUGAGCUCAUCAUUUGGAAUGGAUAUUUGACUGAUCCAUGUGUUACUCUGUGUUUUUAAGUAAGUUUGCAGAGGUAUGGGAGGGUAGAACAUAUACUUUCUGGCUUCUUCUUAGCUCUCAAGAGUUAUUUAUACAUGCAUGCAGACUCACAUAUUUACACAUACAGUUUUAUGUAUGAAUAUGUCUUUACAUAUUGUAUUUACAUAUGUACAUGUAUUAUCUGUGUUAUAUGCAAAAUUGCUGCUGUACUAAGGACUUUAUAAGAUAGCAACAGAAUUUCCAUUACCACCCUUGUUUUGCAUUAAGAGAAGUGACAUUUAGAGCGAUAAGGAGCUUGCCAGCACCAUUCAACCAAGCUAGUGGUGAGGCCAGGCUUGGGCUGUGACACUCUGGUCACAAUCCUCAUAACAUCUCCGUCUGAAAUCCAUUCAGUUGUCUCCCAUGCUGUGUACCCAGGAAAUGUCACUUGGAGUAGUAUUCCAUUUAUUGAUGACAUAGGGGGUGUGCAGGGAGAGGAGACAUGCUAGGACUGGUGGCUGUGAAGAAAAAGGCAAGAACUAAGUUAUGCCUUACCUGCCCUGAGAUCCUGCUUAAGCAGACACUUGCCUGCUGUCUGGAAGAUUGGGCCGUGAUGUGGAAGAGACAUAGCUGGAAUGCACCCCUCACCAGGAAGCAGGCCUGGGUUAGAGGAAUCUCCUCAGUUCAUUGCUGUGGUUAAUUCUGGCCAACUUUGGCCCCUGGGCCCCCUGAGCCUCCUCCGCAAACCCAGAAGAACUCUGGAGAGGUCAGAGCAUUUUUAUUCACCAAUCCAAGUGAAAUGCAGCAAAACACACUCCACAUGCUUGACACGUGGAAAUUCUCAGAGCCAGCGGUUGAUAAAUGUGCCAAACUUGAGGAGUAAACAUCCCAGAGAAGGCAGAGCUGCAUGCAAGCCUUCCUGGCUUCAUCAGGUGGUUAUAUUAGCUUCAGAGCCUGGAGGCUAGCUCAUAACUAAUCCGUACAAGGUGUUGAGCCCUGUGCCUGGUAGACAGUGAGUAAGGUCUCAGUAGGUGCUAAUAGGCACAUUAGUACACUCGCUAUUACUAGUCGGAAGGAACCGAUCGGAUAGUUAUAACAACACUAGUAGCCAAUGAGCUUACUCGCCUCAUGGAAAACCAUCCCACCACAUUCUAAGGGCCUUCUAGUGUGCAAUUGACUCUAGUUUUCAAAACUAGAAUUUUGUUACAUAUUUCUUAAAUGCUAGGUACAUACAUACACAUAUAUACAUGUACACAUAUAUGUACACACACACACAUAUAAUCUUAGUUAUUGCUAGACUUUCUGAGAACUUAACUCCUAGAUGGUUGUUAAGAACUGUGUGGAAAGGCUGACAAGACGGCUCAGCUUGCAAGCUUGGCAACCUGAGUUUGAUUCCUGUGAGAACCCCUCCAUGAGGUUGUCUUCUGCCCUCCAUACAUGUUACAUGGCAUGUAUGCUAAAAUACACGCCCCCCCCCACACACUCAGUACAUUUGACAAAAGAACCUUGCUUAAGAUAACCCAGUCCAAGCUCUCCAUGUGAUGUCCAAGUCUGUUUCUUCAUCACUACUCUGGAACUUCUGGAACCUACAUGAUCCCCAUGAACCCAGGUUCAGGCAGGAUCUGCCCAGGGCACUGCCAUUCUGCUCCUCCCCUUCUGGGCACAGCUGUACACAUCUGUAUUCCAUGAUGCCCACUGAGAAGAGGGCUUCUCUAUCCCGUCUGUAAUGCACCAGUAAACAAACAUCCAGUGAGCCCUAGCAUGGCUGUUCCUUUCUUAAGUCAGCACAGGGUUGCUCAUAGCUGUGGCUUCUGACCCUUGCCCAGGACUUAACCGGUUUCAUGGCUUUACUUCAUGCUCACAAUCCUGCGAUUAUUUUCACAGCCGCCCAGUGUAAAAGGAGCUGUGCUUUGCCAGCAUUUGCAGAGAGGACUGAGAGAGCCAGCCUCAGGACUCAGCUCUGCUGUCAGCAUCCCCGAACUUGUCCCAUUACAGAGGGCUGCUUCCUCUCCACCAUGGGCAGCUGAUGACUUUGGCUCUGUGUGGCCCAGUGCCUGCAACUGUUCUGUUCCUGCCUUUAGUAGGAAGACCAUGAGGUCAACACUGAGGACAGGUCUCUGUGUUCCAGAUAACCUGGGCUUCCCCUUGGUUCUUCUUUUCUUGUUUAUUUUUUUCUCACCAGCAUAUAGGCCAGGCAUCCCAGAUGUGGCAGGACCUGCCCUCUAUCCUCAACUCCAGGUCUGAGGCAGGUGUCCCCCACAGGGCUUAAAAUUUUGGGCACACGCCUGUGGUCCACAGGAACUGGCCUAGCCAUUUGGUGGUGCUGAAGACCCGUGACUAUCUCUGCCUUCUGUUAGGAGUGGGAGAAGCUCAUGGUCUGACUAGCGGUGGGGAAGUCCAAGGGACAAACGGGGGCUCUAACCAUAAUCAGAACACCAGUGCUGUCGGUCUGCUCCUGGAACCAGGAGAGGUGGCAAAAAAAAAAAGGAUCUUGGAGAGAGAGGGUGGACUGGGCGAGCAGAGGAGACAGUGGGUUAGUGCUAGUUUUCUGUGACAGGUUGGAGGAUGUCUUCAGAUGAAAGAAGGUGCCAAAGAGAAGAGGGAAACCAAGGUAGAAAAAUCUUAGGAAGAAACGGAUGAAAAAGCAUGGAAUGGGCUUCUCUAUGAACACAAUGGAAUAUUUGGAGCUGCCUUUUCCUUAUGCUCAAGGGGUUGGGACCCUGGCCGUGCAGUGACCUCUCGGGGAAGCCAAGAUAGACUGCUAGCUGGAACUUCCCCCCACACAGGGGAAGAGUUCAAGCUGUGGAAAGGCCCUGGCCUGAGGUGGGUUUGGACUGCUUACACUCUGACCAGCCAAACUGAUAGCUCCUUGUGCUGUGUGAAAACACUGGCUUCCACAUUGUGACUGCAGUGUUCACCGAGAGCACAGUUUGCCUUUGGGGGAGCAAUGGUGCUGUGGUGGCAGGGAGGCUGUUUCUACCAGUAACUGUAGAACUUCUUUCCUGGAAAUUGGGUGCCCUCAAUGGGUCUCCAUUAGAGAUUCAGGUGACACGUUAGCCCUGUUAGCAGGCCAGGGAGCCAACGGCGUUUUUCAGAUAUCCCAAAGAGUCUGACAGUACUGGGGCAUGGCUCUCUACAAGUGGCUUUACUGGUGUAGCCACUCAGAGGCACAGCUGCUCUGCCUAAAAGCUUCCAGAAUGUCUCCCUCGCCAGCACUGUCUUCACAUCCAGGACUUAGCAGCUCUGUGUGCCCCUAGGAGAAAGACCUUUAGAACCUAUCUCUUCACAAGAGGGGCCUGGGACUUCUGAGGCCAUGGAAUAGGAACCCUGCAAAACCCACAGACACCGGCUAGUGGGAGGACUCCCUUUAUCUGACAAAGCAUCUCAGCACGGAAUGUUCUGGGACAAAAUUGAGGCUUGAGGGAAGCAACCACAACAACAAAAAAAACAAGAUGAAGGGGAUGGUGACUACAUCCUGCUCUGUGGAGGAUUCUGCAGUCUCUCUGUUACCUUUGCUGCUCUUAAGACAGUGGUCAUGAGUACAUUCUGUCUGUUUCCUUUCCUAUUUAGAGGAAAGGAAAGCAGCUGUGCCCACCUGACUUGGCCCCUCUCCCCUCCAUCUUCCUGGGCUUAUUUGUGUUAGUCUUACUAUGUUUGUCUUUAUCUGUUCUAUAGCAACCCUCGUCUCUACAGGUCUUAAUGGUCCCAGCUAGUUCUGGUCACUUGUGGAAAACGUCUCAGGAAGAAUAAAAAGUUUUCAAAAGUUCA
This is a non-coding RNA of Cricetulus griseus (Chinese hamster), 6031 nucleotides long. The record is from RefSeq and is a predicted model, not a curated record. Lineage: Eukaryota; Metazoa; Chordata; Mammalia; Rodentia; Cricetidae.